This 34-nucleotide ribosomal RNA is filed under the name Iresine diffusa. RNAcentral's name for it is "26S ribosomal RNA". RNAcentral also lists the same sequence under 1 other name. Lineage: Eukaryota; Viridiplantae; Streptophyta; Magnoliopsida; Caryophyllales; Amaranthaceae. The record is from RNAcentral.
GACCCCAGGUCAGGCGGGGUUACCCGCUGAGUUU